Molecule: ribosomal RNA, 268 nt
Filed under: uncultured bacterium
Lineage: Bacteria
Description: partial 16S ribosomal RNA
Rfam family: Bacterial small subunit ribosomal RNA
Source: RNAcentral
CGGCGCNCAAAGGGAAGCGACGGGGCGACCCCGAGCCAACCCCAGAAAAGGCGCCUCAGUUCGGAUUGCAGCCUGCAACUCGGCUGCAUGAAGCUGGAAUCGCUAGUAAUGGCAGGUCAGCAUACUGCCGUGAAUACGUUCCCGGGCCUUGUACACACCGCCCGUCACACCAUGAGAGUCGGGAACACCCGAAGUCCGUAGCCUAACAGCAAUGGGGGCGCGGCCGAAGGUGGGUUCGAUAAUUGGGGUGAAGUCGUAACAAGGUAAC